UUUCAUCCAGGGAUCUUCUGGGCUUUGAAAGCAUUUCUACUGAAUGACAUCGUUCUAUUGAGUUUGUUUUUGCUCGAGAUUGAUUAGAAGUGCUGGAUCUAUCAGAGGAAUGAGCUCUGCGAAGGAUUUCGUGACAUAAAAGGAUGGUCCAAUACAGAAGACAGACUUAACCGAUCUGCAGGAUUCCUACGAAGUAACUGGUGGAUAAGGUCCUGAGCCUCUCGUGACAAAAAGGUUGGCAUUUCAUAAUCUGCCAAAACUACUUUAUUCAAUGUGUUCUUGACUGUAUCAGUGUCAAAAGGUGGCCUUCCAAUAAGUAAUGUAUAAAACAUACAGCCCAACGACCAAAUAUCAGAUUCAAGUCCAUGUGCACUUCGAGUUGCAAUUUCUGGUGAAAUGUAAUUAGGAGUUCCACAGAGUGUGUAAUGCUUUUCAUGUGGCAUUUUCAACUGUGUUGCUAGUCCAAAGUCAGCAAUUUUUAUGUUCAUAUUACGUGUAAGUAAUAUGUUAGAGAGUGUGAGGUCCCGGUGUAAUAUGCCAUGAGAAUGAAGAUACAACAUUCCUGUGAUGAUCUGGUGCAUGAAUUGCCUAGCUGUGAAGAUGGAAAAAGAGAAAACAUAAUUCAAAAGUUCUGGAAAUUCCAAUGUUUAGAAUACAUGAUAACACCUAGUACACAUGCCAGAGUAUUACAUUAAAAUCCUAGCCUGCAGCUUAGAUUGACCAACAAAAACAUCACUCUAGUGAUAUAAUGCUAACUAGGCACUCGUUUUAAUCUUUGCUUUUUCCAACUUAUGAGCUAAGGGAAGCCAAAUUUUAUACCAGCUCAAAGUGAUUAGAGCAACUAGGGUAUAACCAGAUAUCCACAAAAUUAAGAAAAUUAUUUAAAAUUGUACAAAUAGUUCAUAGAUAUCAGCUGCUAGGGAAAAUCUUAUUUUAAUUCCUAAGUGCCAAGUAUGAUAAACAGGCUGCCACACCCACCCAAGCAUGGACAUGGGUACUGGGGACCACACCCCAGCUCUCUACUUGCAUGGCAAGAACUUUACACAGUCUCCAUUGUAAACAAUAUAUUUCUUUCUUUCUUUUUUCUUUCCUUUUUCUUUGGUUGUUUUUCAAGACAGGGUUUCUCUGUGUAGCUUUGGAGCCUGUCCUGGAUCGCAUUUUGUAGACCAGCCUGUACUCGAACUCACAAACAUUCACCUGGCUCUGCCUCCGGAGUGCUGGGAUUAAAGGAGUACGCCACCACCAUCCAGCUUAAUAUAGUUCUUAAUACUUUCCUGCAUGCUUGCAUAUAUUUAAAGCUACAAACACAUUAUAAUAAAUGCUUUUAAGAUAUCAAAAAAUGGUAUGAGAGUAGUUUAAUUAACUUUCCUUCUUUACUGUAUAUCUUAAAGUUAUUUCUCUAAUAAUAUCAUAUCUCUAUUUUACCUUAUUGCUGUUGAACAUUUGUGUAAUUUCUGAUGUUUCAAGAUUACAAAUAAUAUAGGAAUAAACAUUCUUGUGCAUGCA
This is a non-coding RNA of Peromyscus maniculatus bairdii (prairie deer mouse), 1506 nucleotides long. The record is from RefSeq and is a predicted model, not a curated record. Lineage: Eukaryota; Metazoa; Chordata; Mammalia; Rodentia; Cricetidae.